This 74-nucleotide transfer RNA is filed under the name Microcaldota archaeon. RNAcentral describes it as "tRNA-Phe". It matches the Rfam family "tRNA". From Rfam's summary of the family: Transfer RNA (tRNA) molecules are approximately 80 nucleotides in length. The record is from RNAcentral. Lineage: Archaea; Nanobdellati; Microcaldota.
GCCGCAGUAGUUCAACCCGGGAGAACGAUCGCCUGAAGAGCGAUACGUUGCUGGUUCAAAUCCGGCCUGCGGCA